GUUAAUCUAAGUAAUUGCCUAACAUAAAUGCACUUACAUAGUAAUUAAGUAUCCUGGUUGACAUAUGAUUGUAAACAAUUGCUGAAAUUAUUAACUGUUCACAGGGUUGCUGUGGCUCUUCCCCUCCUCAGGAGGCAACGAAGAUUACAAGGUGAGAAGACAGCACAAAGGCAAGGGAAGUUUUGAGAGAGAAAAAUGAACAGCUCUUCAUUAGUGACUGGUGUGGAAAUCCGCCCGCUGCAACCUAUUGUUUCAUAAUCUGGGGAACAGCAGAACAACAGGUAUACAUCUUGUGGUGAAAGGACACGCUGUGAUUCCUGACUGCUUCAUGACCACAUUGAGCACACUGAUUCACACCAUUGGAGUUUGUUUGAAUUGA
This 379-nucleotide long non-coding RNA is filed under the name Mus spicilegus (steppe mouse). RNAcentral's name for it is "lncRNA (ENSMSIG00000023813.1)". Lineage: Eukaryota; Metazoa; Chordata; Mammalia; Rodentia; Muridae. The record is from RNAcentral.